RNAcentral lists this ribosomal RNA (252 nucleotides) under uncultured bacterium. RNAcentral describes it as "partial 16S ribosomal RNA". It matches the Rfam family "Bacterial small subunit ribosomal RNA", at positions 524 to 776 of the family's 1533-position model. The record is from RNAcentral.
UACGUAGGCAGCAAGCGUUGUUCGGAGUUACUGGGCGUAAAGGGUGUGUAGGCGGUUCUUUAAGUUGGUGUGAAAUCUCCCGGCUUAACCGGGAGGGUGCGCCGAAUACUGAGGGACUCGAGUGCGGGAGAGGAAAGUGGAAUUCCUGGUGUAGCGGUGAAAUGCGUAGAUAUCAGGAGGAACACCGGUGGUGUAGACGGCUUUCUGGACCGUAACUGACGCUGAAACACGAAAGCGUGGGUAGCAAACAGG